UGUGUCCUGGACUCCUGAUAGACUGUAUAGUCCUCCUCUUGGUUAGUGACUCCUGAUAGACUGUAUAGUCCUCCUCUUGGUUAGUUUAGUGACUCCUGAUAGACUGUAUAGUCCUCCUCUUGGUUAGUGACUCCUGAUAGACUGUAUAGUCCUCCUCUUGGUUAGUGACUCCUGAUAGACUGUAUAGUCCUCCUCUUGGUUAGUGACUCCUGAUAGACUGUAUAGUCCUCCUCUUGGUUAGUGACUCCUGAUAGACUGUAUAGUCCUCCUCUUGGUUAGUGACUCCUGAUAGACUGUAUAGUCCUC
This 306-nucleotide long non-coding RNA is filed under the name Salmo salar (Atlantic salmon). RNAcentral's name for it is "lncRNA (ENSSSAG00000112470.1)". Lineage: Eukaryota; Metazoa; Chordata; Actinopteri; Salmoniformes; Salmonidae. The record is from RNAcentral.